Brienomyrus brachyistius is the source of this 2336-nucleotide long non-coding RNA. RefSeq lists it as uncharacterized. Lineage: Eukaryota; Metazoa; Chordata; Actinopteri; Osteoglossiformes; Mormyridae. The transcript has 4 exons. The record is from RefSeq and is a predicted model, not a curated record.
GAUUCCGGAAAUUUUGCGAUCUGCGAUGUGGAUUGGCUGUAUCUUGGAUGUUCCCGCUAGAACAAAUACUGCGGACUUGAAACUUGAAACUGCAUUAUUCAGUUAAAAACGUGGGUACUUAAUAAUUACAAUGCACCUAAAGAAAUUUUUGGAAAAAUAUAAAAGCUACAUUUUACUGUCUAUACCGUUGAAAAACAGACGCGGCCUUUGUUGAUAUUAAGAAUCUUGUGCGUUCUUCUGCUUGUAGGGUAAAUAAGCUCCACAUAUUGAUUUUUCAGUAACAGCUGUUUAACUAAACAUGCCAGAAUGCCUUCGUGUUCUGCGUAUCGGUGUAGAAACCGUUCCGAAGAUGCCAAGAAGAAAGGCCUCACAUUUCACAGGUUUCCAGCAAGUGACCCCAAAAGGCUACGGCAGUGGGUUAUAAAUAUGAAGUGGGAUAAGUGGAUGCCAUCGAAACGGUCACUUCUGUGCUCCAGUCACUUCCAGGAGGACUGCUUUGACAGAAGUGGAUUAACAGUGCGUCUCACACCCUCAGCUGUGCCCACUAUAUUCUCCUUCCCUGCUCAUCUACAAAAGAAAUCUCUUGGUCGAAAGCCCCCAAAGAGACCAGUAAUUACAGCAACACCAACAAUGUCUUUUAAAAGCCCAUCGGUAACUACUGUUAGUGGACAUACGGUGCCUACUAUUUUCAAAAAAAUGGUUGUGAAUGAGCACAAUUAUGCAGUUCUGGAGUCAUCUCGGCAAUUAAAGCAAAAACUGGAUAUUUUGAAUGAGCAGCUGGACAUUUAUCAAAAAAAGCUGAGUAAUGAACGGAAAGAGUCAGCCCGGCUGAAAAAGAAGGUGUCCCAGUUAGCUUCGAUUGUGGCAGGCCUUAGGAAACGGAGAAAACAAACAAUGCUUAAUCAAACAGCUACAGCUGAUUGACCUGCAUCACCAUUCUGUUUAAUGUGAUUGAAUUGAUGAAGCUGAUAAAUAUUUGCAUGCAAAAAGUGGCAAGGAUCACAAGGAAUAAACAUCUGAUGUAUUUUUUGCUUUGGACACAAUAGCAGAGCACAAUAGCAUGUCGUUUCCUGAUGUGAGUACUGUUGACCACAUCUCCCGUGUCUAUUCUCAUGCAGUUUCUAGCAGUACGCUACAUUGUGGUGGCUUUCUUCAUGCUACUCUUAAGGAAUCAAUACAAUCACCAGCCAGAAUAUCAUUCUGUUCAUGCAAAACGGGAUUUUUACACACCCUGAAACUUCCAUGGAAGAGACUAGAAACUAGCUCAACAACUUGAGAGACAAUUUUCUGCUGUCCUGCUGUCGGCUCCUUCACAAAUUGUGAAAUAGUGACGAGCAAAGAGUCCAGCACUAGUGUGUCUGUGAUGACUUCUCUUAAUGCCCAGACUUUGGCCCAGUUGGAGUAGAAUAAUGGAGAGCGGUGUUUAUAUGGUUAAAUAGUGAGAAUUGCAUUCUAGGUGUUUUCAGAAGAUGUGCAAACCGUUCAUGGUGGCAAGGAUCUGGGAGAGUUUACGAGAGGUGUCUCCAAUGAGGCCUUGUCGUGUUCUGCUGCCAGCAAUGAAGGCACAGUGAAGCCCAAGGCGGUUGAAUCCUCGCUCCUCCUCAUCCAUGUAGCACAGUAGAGCUUCCUCAUUCGGUCUUUUGCAAGGUGGUACCUAGUAACUGAGCAUCAUAGCCGCUUUUUACCUCAGCAAGCUGCAGGAAAUAUGGUUUCUUCAUCAAGCUUUUCUGCUAUUAGCAGUGGGACCUCCUUUCCCAGGAACCUCCUCCGAGGGCAGCAUCCUGUUAGACGUCUUACCGUUCGGAGCCUGAGUCAGUAGCCAGAAGGGCCUGGAGUGAGCAAAGUACCUGAUCUUUUUCAAAAGAAACAUUUUCUUACCUUUUUUGUAUGUACCUAUGAGUGUUUAACCUGCACAGAAAAAAAGACUGCUUGUUCUCUAUGUUCCUCUGGCAUUGUUGAAACCUGAAAUAUUAUAACUUGUUGACAUUUUGCCAGAAGUCUUCCUGUGAUACUUCUACACCUUUCUUUGAAAAAUGCAGACCCCACUGUGAGAACUUUGGGAAUUGUGUAGCUCCUAAGGAAAUGACUAAUAAAAUCUCAGCUCAUUCGCUUACAUAUCCAAUAAAUAUUUAGCUUGAUUUGUAAUUUAUUACAAUCAUUUAUUUAGCCAGUGCUUUUAUCCAGGAAAGCAAGGUCAGCCAGGCCCUGAAGUAGUUGAACUUGAGGACCUUGUUCAGGAGCCCAAAUGUGGCGUCAACUCUGCUGACCAUGAGAUUUGAACCAAUGACCUUUUUAUAUCAAACAUUGCAUCCUGAAGAAUUAAACUAUAAACCACU